RNAcentral lists this ribosomal RNA (253 nucleotides) under uncultured bacterium. Its description in RNAcentral is "partial 16S ribosomal RNA". It matches the Rfam family "Bacterial small subunit ribosomal RNA", at positions 524 to 776 of the family's 1533-position model. The record is from RNAcentral.
UACGAAGGGGGCUAGCGUUGUUCGGAAUCACUGGGCGUAAAGCGCGCGUAGGCGGGUCGUUAAGUCGGGGGUGAAAUCCCGAGGCUCAACCACAGAAUUGCCUUCGAUACUGUUUGGCUUGAGUAUGGUAGAGGUUGGUGGAACUGCGAGUGUAGAGGUGAAAUUCGUAGAUAUUCGCAAGAACACCAGUGGCGAAGGCGGCCAACUGGACCAUUACUGACGCUGAGGCGCGAAAGCGUGGGGAGCAAACAGG